AGGGAUGUAGCUCAGUGGUAGAGUGCUUACUAAGCAUUCUUAAGACCUGAGUUCAAUCCUCAUCAUCUUUC
Molecule: transfer RNA, 71 nt
Filed under: Cricetulus griseus (Chinese hamster)
Lineage: Eukaryota; Metazoa; Chordata; Mammalia; Rodentia; Cricetidae
Rfam family: tRNA
About the family: Transfer RNA (tRNA) molecules are approximately 80 nucleotides in length. Their secondary structure includes four short double-helical elements and three loops (D, anti-codon, and T loops).
Source: Rfam by way of RNAcentral